UACGUAGGGUGCAAGCGUUGUCCGGAAUUAUUGGGCGUAAAGAGCUCGUAGGCGGUCCGUCACGUCGGCUGUGAAAACCUGGGGCUCAACCCCGGGCCUGCAGCCGAUACGGGCGGACUAGGAUUCGGUAGGGGAGACUGGAAUUCCUGGUGUAGCGGUGAAAUGCGCAGAUAUCGGGAGGAACACCAGUGGCGAAGGCGACUAUCUGGGCUGCAACUGACGCUGAGGCGCGAAGGCUAGGGUAGCAAACGGG
This 253-nucleotide ribosomal RNA is filed under the name uncultured bacterium. RNAcentral's name for it is "partial 16S ribosomal RNA". It matches the Rfam family "Bacterial small subunit ribosomal RNA", at positions 524 to 776 of the family's 1533-position model. The record is from RNAcentral.